GCGCACCAGUCGAGAAUCCUCCACAAUGCGGGAAACCGUGAUGGGGGGAAUCCGAGUGCCCGUUGGCUAAUGCUGGCGGGCUUUUUCUCAAGCGUAAAAAGGCUUGAGGAAUAAGGACUGGGUAAGACCGGUGCCAGCCGCCGCGGUAACACCGGCGGUCCAACUGGUGAUCAGCAUUACUGGGCCUAAAGCGUCCGUAGCCGGAUGGUUGGAUUCUGAGUGAAAUUUCCCAGCUCAACUGGGAAGCGUGCUUGGAACACCCGCCAUCUUGGGACCGGGAGAGGGUAGGGGGUAGGCCCCGGGUAGAAGUAAAAUUCUAUAAGUCCGGGGAGGACCACCAGUGGCGAA
Molecule: ribosomal RNA, 348 nt
Filed under: uncultured microorganism
Description: bacterial SSU rRNA
Rfam family: Archaeal small subunit ribosomal RNA
Source: RNAcentral